UAAACAUUUCGUAAUAUAGAAUAGCUGACCCAUGGUUAUUUUAUCUUCAGCUUGGCGCUAAGAUUGAAACAACAUAAAGUUUUAAUACAAAUGGACUGAAUAUUUGAAUUAGUUGUUUGUCCUAAAGAACGGAUUUGAUAUUUUUAUAUAUGCGUAAGGCUGGACCGCAAGUGUGAGUUUCAGUUAGUGGUUUUAGUUGACAUUAAGAAUUCAAUUUAUGAUACCAAGUGAUCGACUCAAACUUCAAGAUCACCAAUGAAUUGUAUUUCCACAAGACACGGCAGUGGAUGCGUUUUUACUUGUAAUUAAAUAGGAAUGCAUCCACCAACAUAUCGAUGUCGUGUCGUUGCAGGAGACGACAUGUGAAGGAUCCCUUUCAUAUCGUGGUAAUAUCGUUAAAUUUGUUGUACUUUUUGCAAAUACAGGAAUGAAUGUGAAAUAGCAACGCCCGUCAAUAUGCGUUACUAGAUGAUGGUAGUAGGGAUUAGUACUAUCCAUCAAACAGGUUGGUACAUGUCAAUUUUGUGACCAAAUUUGCGUCUUUUUUACUGUUUCUUCUUGGAAGGCAACUACAAGUUAUUCAUCUCAGAUAAAACAUCAAAGCAAAUGAAAUAUUGUUACGAACACGUCUCCGCCCUGGAGCCAGACCUGUCUAGAUGUAUUGGAAUUCUAAAAUUCGACGAGGGCGCGCGGCACUAUUGAUAUACUUUUCAUAAACCACGGAAUCCGUUUGAUAUUUCUUUUGUAUAAGUUUUUAUUGUAAUAGGAGGUUUAUUUACAUUGCUUCUUUUGAAUAACGUCUAAGAAGGUCUAUUUAUUUAUUUUUUCUGUUUGGGUAGCGCACUUUAGUUUAGUUUAUAAUAGAAAUAGAAAGUAAUAGAAAAAUUUUAAUAAAUCAUAUAAGUUGAUUGAGUGUUAGUGAUAAGUGUAUUAUAUAAAUGAGUCAA
Molecule: long non-coding RNA, 947 nt
Organism: Diorhabda sublineata
Lineage: Eukaryota; Metazoa; Arthropoda; Insecta; Coleoptera; Chrysomelidae
Exons: 3
Source: RefSeq, a predicted model, not a curated record